RNAcentral lists this ribosomal RNA (429 nucleotides) under Gemmatimonadota bacterium. Its description in RNAcentral is "Gemmatimonadetes bacterium partial 16S ribosomal RNA". It matches the Rfam family "Bacterial small subunit ribosomal RNA", at positions 355 to 776 of the family's 1533-position model. The record is from RNAcentral. Lineage: Bacteria; Pseudomonadati; Gemmatimonadota.
UAGGGAAUCUUCGGCAAUGGACGAAAGUCUGACCGAGCAACGCCGCGUGAGUGAAGAAGGUUUUCGGAUCGUAAAACUCUGUUGUUAGAGAAGAACAAGGACGUUAGUAACUGAACGUCCCCUGACGGUAUCUAACCAGAAAGCCACGGCUAACUACGUGCCAGCAGCCGCGGUAAUACGUAGGUGGCAAGCGUUGUCCGGAUUUAUUGGGCGUAAAGCGAGCGCAGGCGGUUUCUUAAGUCUGAUGUGAAAGCCCCCGGCUCAACCGGGGAGGGUCAUUGGAAACUGGGCGACUUGAGUGCAGAAGAGGAGAGUGGAAUUCCAUGUGUAGCGGUGAAAUGCGUAGAUAUAUGGAGGAACGCCAGUGGCGAAGGCGGCUCUCUGGUCUGUAACUGAAGCUGAGGCUCGAAAGCGUGGGGAGCAAACAGG